GACGAACGCUGGCGGCGUGCCUAAUACAUGCAAGUCGAGCGAACAGAUGAGGAGCUUGCUCCUCUGACGUUAGCGGCGGACGUGUGAGUAACACGUGGAUAACCUACCUAUAAGACUGGGAUAACUUCGGGACACCGGAGCUAAUACCGGAUAAUAUAUUGAACCGCAUGGUUCAAUAGUGAAAGACGGUUUUGCUGUCACUUCUAGAUGGAUACGCGCCGCAUUAGCUAGUUGGUAAGGUAACGGCUUACCAAGGCGACGAUGCGUAGCCGACCUGAGAGGGUGAUCGGCCACACUGGAGCUGAGACACGGUCCAGACGCCUACGGGAGGCAGCAGUAGGGAAUCUUCCGCAAUGGGCGAAAGCCUGACGGAGCAACGCCGCGUGAGUGAUGAAGGUCUUCGGAUCGUAAAACUCUGUUAUUAGGGAAGAACAAAUGUGUAAGUAACUAUGCACGUCUUGACGGUACCUAAUCAGAAAGCCACGGCUAACUACGUG
RNAcentral lists this ribosomal RNA (497 nucleotides) under uncultured bacterium. RNAcentral describes it as "partial 16S ribosomal RNA". It matches the Rfam family "Bacterial small subunit ribosomal RNA", at positions 28 to 507 of the family's 1533-position model. The record is from RNAcentral.